RNAcentral lists this ribosomal RNA (257 nucleotides) under uncultured bacterium. RNAcentral describes it as "partial 16S ribosomal RNA". It matches the Rfam family "Bacterial small subunit ribosomal RNA", at positions 524 to 776 of the family's 1533-position model. The record is from RNAcentral.
UACAGAGGGUGCAAGCGUUGUUCGGAAUUAUUGGGCGUAAAGGGCGCGUAGGCGGUGCGGUAAGUCUGUAGUGAAAAUCUCUGGGCUCAACUCAGAGUCUGCUGCAGAAACUGCCGUGCUUGAGUGUGGGAGAGGUGAGUGGAAAUUCCCGGUGUAGCGGUGAAAAUGCGUAGAUAUCGGGAGGAACACCAGAGGCGAAGGCGGCGACCUGGACAGAUACUGACACUCAACUGCGAAAAGCGUGGGGAGCAAACAGG